GGGUCCUUAGCUCACUGGUAGAGCAUUUGACUGGGAGAUUAAGAGGUCGUUAGUUCAAAUUUAGUAGGGCUCU
Molecule: transfer RNA, 73 nt
Filed under: Capsicum annuum
Lineage: Eukaryota; Viridiplantae; Streptophyta; Magnoliopsida; Solanales; Solanaceae
Rfam family: tRNA
About the family: Transfer RNA (tRNA) molecules are approximately 80 nucleotides in length. Their secondary structure includes four short double-helical elements and three loops (D, anti-codon, and T loops).
Source: Rfam by way of RNAcentral